AUGCCAUAUUUUAAAAACUCUUUUCAAGUGCUGUUGUUUUCCCCUUUUUCUUCAUCAGUGUUCUGGACAUCUUGGAAAAGGUAUACGGGAAGCAACAGAAAUCCUUACAAUUGCAAAAUAAAACCUGAGGGGAUAGGAACCGAGAACUUUUCAAUGAAGAAGACAAGAAUUGUUGACAAUUCAUACUUUAGGUCUGUUAUUGGAGCCCACCAGCAUGCCAGGAGUAGCUGGGAGUAUUCAGUGGAGCCCCAUCUGAGACUCUGCCAGAACACAAAGCCUCUCUCUUCGUACAUUUCAAGCACGUGCAUGGGCUACAUCUGUCAGAAUUGGACAUUUUCAUCCUGAUUUGCUUGCUGGUGGCCAAAUUACACUUCCUUGGACCUCAGUCUUUUUCAGAUUCUUGAUUCCCAUUGAACUAAGAAAGAAGGGGUACCCUGAGCCAGGACAGCACCCUGGGGAUGAUUAUUCAUUCAUAUUCAUCAAGUCCACAGCUCUCAUUGAUGUGUACAAUGUGUCAAACGCUGUGCGAGGUGCUGGAAGGAUGUAACAAUGCAAAAGCUGAAGCAGUGCCUGAACUCUUCAAUCCAAUGGGGACAGACUGCUGUUAAACAAUGAAACACACACACUCCGUUGUCAAAUACAACUAGUCAUGUCCGACUCUUUGAGACCCCAUGGACUGUAGCCCACCAGGCUCCUCUAUCCAUGGAGUUCUCCAGGCAAGAAUACGGGAAUGGGUUGCCAUUACCUUCUCCAGGGGAUCUUCCUGACUCAGGAUUGAACCUGGGUCUCCUGCAUUGCUGGCAGAUUCUUUACCAUCUGAGCCACAGGAACAUGAAAAAGGUUUGAAGGAGCACAGUGUGCAAAGUGAGCUUAGCAUGAGAGUGGCUGACAUCACAUGGGUUGUAAGAGAGGGGAAUUCUUUGAGGAAGUGAAGGAGUUCUCUAUGCAGUAGGGAGGUGGACUUCCCAUGCUGUUCUAACGGUAAAGAACCUACCUGCCAAUGCAGGAGACAUAAGAGAGGCAGGUUCGAGCCCUGGGUUGGAAAGAUGCCCUGGAGUGGGGCAUGGCAACCCACUCUGAUGUUCUUGCUUGGAGAAUCCAUGGACAGAGAAGCCUUGCAGCCUAUGGCCUAUAGGAUUGCAGACAGACACAUCUGAACCGACUUAGCAGGCACUAAGUCACUUAGUCUCCUGCAUUGCAGGCGGAUUCUUUAGUAGCUGAGCCACAAAGGAAGCCCUAGCAGGCACACAGAAAAGCUGAAAUCAUGCUGUUACAGGGGAGCAGCAGGCAAAAACUCCCAGGAACUUCAUUGCCUGGCACAGGAAUUAGAAGAAUACUAGUGGUUGGAGCCCAGUGGGCAAGCCAGAUUGGGGCUGGAAACUAGGCAGGAGGGGGACUAUGGUAAGGCUUUGAAUUCUGUAGGCUUUUGCCUUCUAUCUGCAAAGCAAUGGGAAGCUAGUUAAGAAUUUAAUGACAGAACAUGACUUACGUGGUGUGCAGUAUAGAGAAAGAGCUUUAGGGGCCAAGAGAUUGAUAUAGGAAGACUUGAUAUUCAGUUCAGUUCAGUUCAGACACUCAGUAGGGUCUGACUCUUUGCAACCCCAUGGACUGCAGCACGCCAGUCUUCCCUGUCCAUCGCCAACACCCAGAGGUUACUCAUACUCAUGUAUAAAGUCCGUCAUUGUUUCCACUGUUUUCCCAUCUAUUUGCCAUGAAGUGAUGGGACCGGAUGCCAUUAUCUUCAUUUUCUGAAUGUUGAGCUUUAAGCCACCUUUUUCACUCUCCACUUUCACUUUCAUCAAGAGGCUUUUUAGUUCCUCUUCACUUUCUGCCAUAAGGGUGGUGUCUUCUGCAUAUCCGAGGUAAUUUAUAUUUCUCCCAGCAAUCUUGAUUCCAGCUUGCUUCACCCAGCCCAGCAUUUUGCAUGAUGUACUCUGCAUAUAAGUUAAAUAAGCAGGGUGACAAUAUACAGCCUUGACAUAUUCCUUUCUUGAUUUGGAACCAGUCUAUUGUUCCAUGUCCAGUUCUAACUGUUGGUUCUUGACCUGCAUACAGAUUUCUCAGGAGGCAGGUCAGGUGGUCUGGUAUUCCCAUCUCUUGAAGAAUUUUCCACAGUUUGCUGUGAUUCACACAGUCAAAGGCUUUGGCAUAGUCAAUAAAGCAGAAGUAGAUGUUUUUUCUGCUAUUCUC
This 2190-nucleotide long non-coding RNA is filed under the name Bos indicus x Bos taurus (hybrid cattle). RNAcentral describes it as "lncRNA (ENSBIXG00005003335.1)". Lineage: Eukaryota; Metazoa; Chordata; Mammalia; Artiodactyla; Bovidae. The record is from RNAcentral.